CGGAUCUUGUAUUUUAAAAAUGUUUCACAUUUUACUACAAUAUUCACUCUACAUGUAGAGGAAGCUGUUCAAAAAUGUAAACAUUUUUAAUUCAUUUCUCUUUCCUCUGUGCGUUGGUUUUCUUCAUUUCUUCAAGUUUCCUUUAUUUCAUUUCAGACCCCUCUCCCUCGUUCAUCAUUCCCACGGUUUCUCUUUGCUUGGCGCGAAAGACAGAACCAGCACCUUCCAUCGUUCCUCGACUUCGCUUCUCAACUCCAUCGCCGAUCAUCUGUUGUCUUCUUCAUCAAGCUUUGCCCUCACAGUUGAGGAACUCCUUUUGCACGGAAAAAAUGAAGAGCUAUAUCAGCAUUUAGCAGCUACAUUGGUUUCUCAGUUGUAUCCUUAGAUGUUUUGAUUCCAGCAAGUAGUUAAAAGGAGAAAACUCAGGAAGAUGAAGACUAACACAAACACGCAACCAAAAACCCAGAUGAGUGGGAAGACGAAGAUCCAGACGAUGCCAAGCUCUGUUUCAGUGUCUUUUUUCUUUCUUCCUCAUUUCUCCCCAGAUCAGAUGAGCAGGAAGAUGAAGACUAACAUGAACACGUAACUAAAAACCCAGACGAGCAGGAAGACAAAGAUCCAGACGAUGCCGAGCUUAAUGUCUUUUUUCUUUCUUUCUUAUUUCGAUUUCUAGCGGGGCUUCUUUUAUUUUCUAUGUCUUUUAUUUUUUUUAAAUCUGAUGUGGUGUCAUCGACUGCACACCGACUAUAUGUAACGACAGUAUGUAGAAGAAUUGUUCAAAGAAAGUCUCUAGAAUAAGGUUUUUGAGAAAA
Long non-coding RNA from Carya illinoinensis, 812 nucleotides. RefSeq lists it as uncharacterized. The transcript is spliced from 4 exons. The record is from RefSeq and is a predicted model, not a curated record. Lineage: Eukaryota; Viridiplantae; Streptophyta; Magnoliopsida; Fagales; Juglandaceae.